RNAcentral lists this ribosomal RNA (187 nucleotides) under Klebsiella pneumoniae subsp. pneumoniae KPNIH11. RNAcentral describes it as "partial 16S ribosomal RNA". It matches the Rfam family "Bacterial small subunit ribosomal RNA", at positions 1 to 179 of the family's 1533-position model. The record is from RNAcentral. Lineage: Bacteria; Pseudomonadati; Pseudomonadota; Gammaproteobacteria; Enterobacterales; Enterobacteriaceae.
ACUUAAAUUGAAGAGUUUGAUCAUGGCUCAGAUUGAACGCUGGCGGCAGGCCUAACACAUGCAAGUCGAGCGGUAGCACAGAGAGCUUGCUCUCGGGUGACGAGCGGCGGACGGGUGAGUAAUGUCUGGGAAACUGCCUGAUGGAGGGGGAUAACUACUGGAAACGGUAGCUAAUACCGCAUAACGU